This 21-nucleotide microRNA is filed under the name Medicago truncatula (barrel medic). RNAcentral's name for it is "mtr-miR2633". The record is from miRBase by way of RNAcentral. Lineage: Eukaryota; Viridiplantae; Streptophyta; Magnoliopsida; Fabales; Fabaceae.
UGACAUUUUGCUCCAGAUUCA